UACAGAGGGUGCGAGCGUUGUCCGGAAUCACUGGGCGUAAAGGGCGCGUAGGUGGUGGCUUAAGCGUGCGGUGAAAGCUCGGAGCUCAACUCCGAGUCGGCCGUGCGAACUGGGCUCACUGGAGCAUAGUAGAGGCAGGUGGAAUUCCGGGUGUAGCGGUGGAAUGCGUAGAGAUCCGGAAGAACACCGGUGGCGAAGGCGGCCCGCUGGGCUAUGGCUGACACUGAGGCGCGACAGCGUGGGGAGCAAACAGG
RNAcentral lists this ribosomal RNA (254 nucleotides) under uncultured bacterium. RNAcentral describes it as "partial 16S ribosomal RNA". It matches the Rfam family "Bacterial small subunit ribosomal RNA", at positions 524 to 776 of the family's 1533-position model. The record is from RNAcentral.